GCAAACUUGGUCAUUUAGAGGAAGUAAAAGUCGUAACAAGGUUUCCGUAGGUGAACCUGCGGAAGGAUCAUUAACAAUUCCAAAUAAUAAUCUUAUUCACCCUCUGUGAACAGAUCUUGGUGGUAUUAGGUAGCUGGCAGCAAAAGCAAUAUGUUGCUUUAAAAGCUGUUCUAGCUACUGGGCCAAGAUAAAUGUGUAUGCUUUUGUCUGUAAACCAACCGUCUUGGCUUUAGGGACAAGCACACAAAUUGACUAUGUGUUGCAUUACAAGUUUAAAAUUAGCAAAUAUUUACAACUUUUAACAGUGGAUCUCUUGGCUCCUGCAUCGAUGAAGAACGCAGC
Molecule: unclassified non-coding RNA, 342 nt
Filed under: uncultured fungus
Lineage: Eukaryota; Fungi
Description: partial contains small subunit ribosomal RNA, internal transcribed spacer 1, and 5.8S ribosomal RNA
Rfam family: Eukaryotic small subunit ribosomal RNA (bases 1-73)
Source: RNAcentral